RNAcentral lists this unclassified non-coding RNA (275 nucleotides) under uncultured fungus. RNAcentral's name for it is "partial contains small subunit ribosomal RNA, internal transcribed spacer 1, and 5.8S ribosomal RNA". Lineage: Eukaryota; Fungi. The record is from RNAcentral. RNAcentral also lists the same sequence under 1 other name.
UUUCCGUAGGUGAACCUGCGGAAGGAUCAUUACAGUGUUCUGGAGGCCGGUCCGUCCCGCUCCCCUUCGGGGGCCCGGUGGGGUCCGCGCCCCCUCCACACGUGUCUACCACACCCUGUUGCCUUGGUGGGUCUGCCCCUGUGGCUGCCGGGGAUCGCCGCUGGCGUCCCGGGCCCGUAUCCACCGAUGGACACCCUGAACCCUCUGUGAAUCUAGUAUGUCUGAGCGUUAAAGCAAAUGAAACAAAACUUUCAACAAUGGAUCUCUUGGUUCUG